CGCAAAGGCAUAGUGCAGGUUCAGUAGCAUAGCCUGUGUGGCUUGUGGUUCAUGAAUCAGACUGCCUAAUCCCGGGAACCACAAGGGACAUCUGUAAAUCCAUUGGCCAGUUCCUGAGCUUCUUCUGUUUCAGAGCUAUGUUUCCCAGUGGGCUGCCACAUCUUUGGGUUUCCAGUACUUGGAAUUUUGCUUUCCAGUUGCAGAGCUAAGAAGCCAAUUCACAUUCCAUCGUUGUCCCAAAGUCUUUUUCCUAUUUUGAAUGCCCCAUCUUGUCUGGAUUUAUCAAGGGUCCACAGAUUUACAACUUGAGGUGGCCUGCACCAGACCCACGGGGCAAUAACAGUCUUCCAUUGAAUUCUUUAGCAGUUUCUACAAUUGCAUAAGUUAACAAGAUCAACCUUGCUGGGAAAUGAACAAGCGACCAGUUUUGUAGGCUCCUACCAGUGAAAGCCUCCUCACAACUCUCUUCUUCUCCCCAAGGACUGCGUGCAAUUCUACUUGGAGAUCUUCAUAACACCUUAAGGGAAAAAUCCUUUUUGAAAGAAAAACAAGUCUGGGUGGUGCUUGAAAAUUCAGAAGGCAGCUAGAAACUCUGCCAAUUACAACUGGUGAUUGCUGAGUUCUGGAGACAGACUGGGCUUCUGCUUUCUUUUGGUGGAGGUGUCUGCUUGCAGAAAAUUUAUGUUCUGGGAUUUACAACUUCAGGGAGACAAAGGAAACUCCAGCUCAUCUCCCACAUCAUUGAUUGAGAGGACCAUUUUCUGACUGUCUGCACACGUUUCCUAUACUACCCUUUAAUGCAACAAUGGGAUGAAGAGAUGAAGACUUCUAGCAGGCUACCUCAGAAAGGUUGCUGACCAAAGGCUGUAUGGACCAAAAAGUCAUAACACCACCCUGGAUGAAAGGACAUUUACCUAAGGAAUUACCCGCUCUCAAUUCUUCCCAGGGAUGGGCAUUUGAAUUAUUUCCAGUUUUUGGCUAUUAUGAAAAAAACUGCUAUGAACAUUCAUACACAAGUGUGUGUGUGGACCCAUGUUUUCACUGAUCAAGGCCUAAAUACCUACGGUAAGUAUACAUUUAACCUUAUAAGAAAAUGCAAAACUAUUUUUCCAAAGUAGUAUCAUUUUACAUUUCUUCUAACAACAUAUGAGAAUGGCAGUUGCUCUACUAAUAUGGUUUGGCUUUGUGUCCCCACC
RNAcentral lists this long non-coding RNA (1196 nucleotides) under Homo sapiens (human). RNAcentral describes it as "HSALNT0079569". Lineage: Eukaryota; Metazoa; Chordata; Mammalia; Primates; Hominidae. The record is from RNAcentral.